This 767-nucleotide long non-coding RNA is filed under the name Mus musculus (house mouse). RNAcentral's name for it is "RIKEN cDNA 1300002E11 gene". The record is from RNAcentral. Lineage: Eukaryota; Metazoa; Chordata; Mammalia; Rodentia; Muridae.
GUGGAGGCAGAGGUGGCGCCUGCGCAUUGGGGUUGCGCUGGGGUGGGUGUCCAGCGCUGUAGGAGGAACGCGGUGGGAGGAAGGCUUGCGGGCGUGCGGACUCGGCUUCGGGCCGAGCGCUUUGAAGAAUUUUGCAGAACCCUGCUACCUACAGACUCUGCCAUGGAUGUCAUGUAAAGAAACCCCGGAUGUAGUAACGGACAAAACAUGAGUCAGUUUGUGUUGUGGCAUUCAGAUCUGAACACACUGGGAGAGGCUUGCAUCCUGAACUUCAUGAAAGAAGGCAGCAGGCAGAGGGCCACCAUUAUCAUCCUGUUCCUCCUGACUGUGGACACAGUGUGACCAGCUGCUUCAGGCUCCUGAUACCAUGAUUACCUUGGCACAGUGGACUGCACUCUGGAACUGCACUCACAGUUAAGAGAUUACCUCAAAUCUGAAAUAAGGCUUUGGACUUGUGAACAGUAUUGGAAUUGUUGAAGAAUAUGGGGACUUUUGAAGUUGUCCUGGACAUAUGUUUGCAUUAUAAGAUGACAAUGAAGGCUGCCAGGAAAACUCAGAAAGUAUUGUAUUACCUUUUGACUUGAGUUCAAUCCCCAAAGCCAAAGUGUGGAAGGAGAGAGCUGAUUCCUGCAACUUCUUCUGACUUCUAUAGCACUCACAUAUAUCGGGCACAUGCAUGAGUAUGCACACACACACACACACACACACACAGAUCGAAAAUAGUUGUAAUAAAAAAAAUUAAACAGAUGGUCAUGAAAUUCUGGAAA